CAUAAAAAUGCACUCAAGUUGAGUGCAUGGUGUGACGAACCGAUAUAACAAAUUUUGAAAUUUUCAAGCAUCCAUAAGUAGUAUUGGCUUAUACACGACUAGCCAUAUUCGCAGAUCUCCUAAACGAAAGCUCUCUCAUUUUUCAAUACGACAUAAAACAAAAAACAGAAUAUUCCUCACCUUACAGCUCUCAAUUAAUAACUACCGAGGUUUAUCUUUAUG
This 222-nucleotide unclassified non-coding RNA is filed under the name Moritella viscosa. RNAcentral describes it as "putative sRNA". The record is from RNAcentral. Lineage: Bacteria; Pseudomonadati; Pseudomonadota; Gammaproteobacteria; Alteromonadales; Moritellaceae.